GUUGGGCAACAAUAUGGUGACCUCCCAGAGGCUGAGGGGAGGAUCGCUUGAGUCCAGGAGUUCUGGGCUGCAGUGCGCUAUGCCAAUGGGGUGUCCCCACUAAGUUGGGCAACAAUAUGGUGACCUCCCGGGAGUGCGGGACCACCAGGUUGCCUAAGGAGGGGUGAACCGGCCCAGGUCGUAAAUGGAGCAGGUCAAAAUUCCCAUGCUGACCAAGAAGCGUGACCUCACAAGACAUCUUCCCAAGAACAACAGAAGAUCAUGGAGAAAAAGACCCUUUCUCCUCCC
This 288-nucleotide signal recognition particle RNA is filed under the name Fukomys damarensis (Damara mole-rat). RNAcentral's name for it is "Metazoan signal recognition particle RNA (ENSFDAG00000019824.1)". The stretch from base 91 to 231 matches the Rfam family "Metazoan signal recognition particle RNA", at positions 106 to 245 of the family's 299-position model. The record is from RNAcentral. Lineage: Eukaryota; Metazoa; Chordata; Mammalia; Rodentia; Bathyergidae.